CUUUGCUCCUUAACCGCUGGGCUGGCUUCUGCUCAGCUCUGCAGGUGGAUACGCUGCUCACUAGAAACAUUUUGUCCAGGUCCUGAUCCAGGGUCACCUUGACCUGGACUGGUCUGCCUCUCCCCCCUGCUAGGUUUCUCUCUAGGGGACCUCUAGGAGAAGGGCAGAACUCAGACAGCCAGACACUGCGGUCCUGAGGUGGGACAAGAGGAAUAAAGAUACAACAAGCUUGGGCAACUCUCUUUCACCUGCAAAUUGGCUCUUUUCGCCUGUGAAUGGCACUUAUCCUCAAGGAAGCAGCACUGUAGUGGACAGUGGCUCUCAACUUCAAACCCAGCGGGCAGGAGCUGAUGCUGGUCGACUGCUGGAGACAGAGGAAGCCGAAUCCUCAGGUUCUGCUUGGCCUCUCUGAACAGUGUUCCCUCCCCAAGAACAGCCAGGACCCCUCCUGAAGUGGAGUCUUGUGACCUUCUCGAGGUAGGUAGAGAAUUGCGCAGGCCCAGUUCUUACCCAGAGGAGCGGGAACACGUGCGAAGCUGUUUCACUGUCUCCACGGUGUGGGGAUGUGUUGAGGAGCUCAGCUUUACCUCACUGCGCACUCUGGAUUUCAC
Heterocephalus glaber (naked mole-rat) is the source of this 611-nucleotide long non-coding RNA. The record is from Ensembl. Lineage: Eukaryota; Metazoa; Chordata; Mammalia; Rodentia; Bathyergidae.